Molecule: non-coding RNA, 78 nt
Organism: Trichonephila clavata
Lineage: Eukaryota; Metazoa; Arthropoda; Arachnida; Araneae; Nephilidae
Source: the annotation of a GenBank genome assembly
GUCUCUAUAGCGUAAUGAAUAGCGCGUUGGACUUCUCAUCCAAAGGUCGUGGGGUUUGAAUUCCACCUGCCAUGGACA